RNAcentral lists this ribosomal RNA (388 nucleotides) under uncultured bacterium. RNAcentral's name for it is "bacterial SSU rRNA". It matches the Rfam family "Bacterial small subunit ribosomal RNA", at positions 29 to 420 of the family's 1533-position model. The record is from RNAcentral.
AUUGAACGCUGGCGGAAUGCUUUACACAUGCAAGUCGAACGGCAGCACGGGGCAACCUGGUGGCGAGUGGCGAACGGGUGAGUAAUACAUCGGAACGUGCCCAAUCGUGGGGGAUAACGUAGCGAAAGCUACGCUAAUACCGCAUACGAUCUACGGAUGAAAGCGGGGGAUCGCAAGACCUCGCGCGAAUGGAGCGGCCGAUGGCAGAUUAGGUAGUUGGUGGGGUAAAGGCUCACCAAGCCUGCGAUCUGUAGCUGGUCUGAGAGGACGACCAGCCACACUGGAACUGAGACACGGUCCAGACUCCUACGGGAGGCAGCAGUGGGGAAUUUUGGACAAUGGGCGCAAGCCUGAUCCAGCCAUUCCGCGUGAGUGAAGAAGGCCUCGG